Molecule: long non-coding RNA, 212 nt
Filed under: Gossypium raimondii (Peruvian cotton)
Lineage: Eukaryota; Viridiplantae; Streptophyta; Magnoliopsida; Malvales; Malvaceae
Description: long non-coding RNA (GRAI_LNC011221)
Source: RNAcentral
UGAAGUAUUUAUUGCUUGAAUCAGAAUUCUCAAGAUUAGGCAGGUUUUUGCCAUCCAUCUUGGUCAAUAUCGACGCUUUUUCAGAUAAUGCCUUCCGCAUAAGGUCCUUUCCAGUUUGACAUACACUUUCCUAUGAAGUCCUUUUGCAUGGGAAGGAUCUUCCUCGAUAUUAGGUCCCCUCAUGGAAUUCUCUAGGGUGAACCUUUUUUGGU